Ixodes scapularis (black-legged tick) is the source of this 71-nucleotide non-coding RNA. Lineage: Eukaryota; Metazoa; Arthropoda; Arachnida; Ixodida; Ixodidae. The record is from Rfam.
GGAUUGGUGGUUCAGUAGUAGAAUACUCGCCUGCCACGCGGGUGGCGCGGGUUCAAUUCCCGGCCGACGCA